RNAcentral lists this microRNA precursor (71 nucleotides) under Nannospalax galili (Upper Galilee mountains blind mole rat). Its description in RNAcentral is "miRNA (ENSNGAG00000007488.1)". Lineage: Eukaryota; Metazoa; Chordata; Mammalia; Rodentia; Spalacidae. The record is from RNAcentral.
CCUGGAACUCAUUAUGUAGACCAGGCUGGCCUUGAAUCACAGAGAUCUGCCUGCCUCUGCUUUCUGAGUGC